CUCUCUCUUCCUCUCAGAACCAACCCAGCCCCAAUCCAAUCCCAAAAACAACAAUCGAUCAUUGAUGCGAACCUCACCAACAUAAGCUUCAACCCAGAUUGAGUUUGAUUUUUGAAAUCCCCAAAUCGUUCGACCAACCCUAGAUCAGUUGCUUCACUUGCUUGGUUGAAGUGGUUGCUCAGAGACUUAUACGGUGUUCAAUUGGUGUUUCCGAGCACAAAUAAUUAGGAAAGUCCUUUGAAGCUUGAAGGUAUUGACCAUGGAUUUUAGUUGAGGCUUUAUCAGUUUAUCCUGAGGCAGGGAGGUGAUCGAGGUCUUUGAUUAGACCAUGGCUUCUAGAAGUAGGUCAGGAAGUAAUUGUUGUUCAUCUCCUUCCAUAACUUCAAACAUGGUUACUGGAAGUUAUCAAUCUGUUAGUGUUUCCCCAAAUGAUAACCAAAACCCUUUACCACCAGUAGGUAACUUACCACCAAUAGAUAAUAGUACCCCAACUGAAACACCUAACUUAGUUCCCACUACAACCCCAACUGAAACACCAAAUCCAGAUCCUGAAUUGGUGGAAGCUACUGCGGGGCUGGGGAAAAGAAAAGGAGUAGAUAAGACCA
Molecule: long non-coding RNA, 605 nt
Organism: Rosa rugosa (rugosa rose)
Lineage: Eukaryota; Viridiplantae; Streptophyta; Magnoliopsida; Rosales; Rosaceae
Exons: 3
Source: RefSeq, a predicted model, not a curated record